Molecule: ribosomal RNA, 157 nt
Filed under: Lareunionomyces foliicola
Lineage: Eukaryota; Fungi; Ascomycota; Leotiomycetes; Helotiales; Neolauriomycetaceae
Description: Sporendocladia foliicola 5.8S ribosomal RNA
Rfam family: 5.8S ribosomal RNA
About the family: 5.8S ribosomal RNA (5.8S rRNA) is a component of the large subunit of the eukaryotic ribosome. It is transcribed by RNA polymerase I as part of the 45S precursor that also contains 18S and 28S rRNA.
Source: RNAcentral
AAACUUUCAACAACGGAUCUCUUGGUUCUGGCAUCGAUGAAGAACGCAGCGAAAUGCGAUAAGUAAUGUGAAUUGCAGAAUUCAGUAAAUCAUAGAAUCUUUGAACGCACAUUGCGCCCCUUGGUAUUCCGGGGGGCAUGCCUGUUCGAGCGUCAUU